UUAGUUGGUCCGUAAGUUUUGUGG
This 24-nucleotide non-coding RNA is filed under the name Arabidopsis thaliana (thale cress). Lineage: Eukaryota; Viridiplantae; Streptophyta; Magnoliopsida; Brassicales; Brassicaceae. The record is from RNAcentral.